Molecule: ribosomal RNA, 493 nt
Filed under: uncultured bacterium
Lineage: Bacteria
Description: partial 16S ribosomal RNA
Rfam family: Bacterial small subunit ribosomal RNA
Source: RNAcentral
GACGAACGCUGGCGGCGUGCCUAACACAUGCAAGUUGAGCGACGAACCAGGGCUUGCCCUGGGGCAAAGCAGCGAACGGAUGAGUAACACGUGGGUAACCUACCCCGAUAACCGGGACAACCCGAGGAAACUCGGGCUAAUACCGGAUGUGCUCACUGGACUUCGGUUCAGUGCGUAAAGGAAGCUUCGGCCUCCGUAUCGGGAGGGGCCCGCGGCCCAUUAGUUUGUUGGUGAGGUAACGGCUCACCAAGACCGCGAUGGGUAGCUGGUCUGAGAGGACGAUCAGCCACACUGGGACUGAGACACGGCCCAGACUCCUACGGGAGGCAGCAGUGGGGAAUCUUGCGCAAUGCGCGAAAGCGUGACGCAGCAACGCCGCGUGGGGGAAGAAGGCCUUCGGGUUGUAAACCCCUUUCAGGAGGGACGAAGGUUCGGCGGUGAAUAGCCGUCCGGACUGACGGUACCUCCACAAGAAGCCCCGGCUAACUACGUG